UAGGGAAUCUUCCACAAUGGGCGCAAGCCUGAUGGAGCAACACCGCGUGAGUGAAGAAGGGUUUCGGCUCGUAAAGCUCUGUUGUUAAAGAAGAACACGUAUGAGAGUAACUGUUCAUACGUUGACGGUAUUUAACCAGAAAGUCACGGCUAACUACGUGCCAGCAGCCGCGGUAAUACGUAGGUGGCAAGCGUUAUCCGGAUUUAUUGGGCGUAAAGAGAGUGCAGGCGGUUUUCUAAGUCUGAUGUGAAAGCCUUCGGCUUAACCGGAGAAGUGCAUCGGAAACUAGAUAACUUGAGUGCAGAAGAGGGUAGUGGAACUCCAUGUGUAGCGGUGGAAUGCGUAGAUAUAUGGAAGAACACCAGUGGCGAAGGCGGCUACCUGGUCUGCAACUGACGCUGAGACUCGAAAGCAUGGGUAGCGAACAGGAUUAGAUACCCUGGUAGUCCAUGCCGUAAACGAUGAGUGCUAGGUGUUGGAGGGUUUCCGCCCUUCAGUGCCGGAGCUAACGCAUUAAGCACUCCGCCUGGGGAGUACGACCGCAAGGUUG
This 550-nucleotide ribosomal RNA is filed under the name uncultured bacterium. RNAcentral's name for it is "bacterial SSU rRNA". It matches the Rfam family "Bacterial small subunit ribosomal RNA", at positions 355 to 896 of the family's 1533-position model. The record is from RNAcentral.